AUGGCUCAACUCCAGCAGCUUGUGCCUGGUGAGCCUGGGUUCUGUGGCCUGCUUUCCAGGGCUUCUGUGGAGUCUGGAAUCAGCUAAUGAGAACUGAGAUGAGCAGGAUUAUUCGAGUGUAAACAGAGUACAGCCAGCAAAAGACCCACCUGGCAGCUUGGAUGAGUUGCUUUGUGACAGCCGUGUUUCUCUCCUCCUGGGUCCACUUUGCUCCCCUAAGUUCCUACACAAACACUCCCCUCUUUCUUCACAGCCCUCAACAGGGAAGUACGCCUUUCUCAAGCUAGAACAAGUAGGCACCACAAAGCACUGCAUGGAGACAUCAGCAGACAGCCAAGGAAAGGGAAGAGAACACCUCAUGUCACCUCUGAAGCCUUGAAGUUGUGUGUAGGUGCGUUAACCUGCAUUGGCUAUUCAACAACACACCAUUCACAUGGUAUAACAAUAAAAAAAAAGUGCUAACACUCCACAGCCAGGAAGAAGGAAAACAUCUGAAGAUGUUAGGUAUUCACCCACUAGCUCUCUGUCUUAUCAGGCUCCAUUUGCUUAACAGGGAAGUAUCCAAACAUUUAAGUAUGCAAAUGUGUAAAGCCAAAUGAGACAUCAUUUCAUUCUGUUAUUGUCUUACAGUGAAAGGGAGCAAAUGAGCAAGCGGACGGAAGGACGGCUUCGUGCCAAUUAUCUUCACUACGUUGUCUUUUAUGCGAAGGUAUUGCCGAAAGCAAACCCCCACAUUCUAGCAGCAGCAGUAACAUGAAUAUUUUAGGGGCUGUGAGAUUUCUUUUGUGGGUUAUGGCUGGAAAUAAAAAUUUUAGGUUGCAAGUGCUUUGGCAAAUAUGUAAUAAACUGCCAAGGCUAAAA
RNAcentral lists this long non-coding RNA (861 nucleotides) under Mus caroli (Ryukyu mouse). Its description in RNAcentral is "lncRNA (MGP_CAROLIEiJ_G0013863.1)". Lineage: Eukaryota; Metazoa; Chordata; Mammalia; Rodentia; Muridae. The record is from RNAcentral.